CGCUAUGCAUGCAAGUCGAACGGGCAAAGGGGCUUCGGCCCCGGAGCUAGUGGCAGACGGCUGAGUAACACGUAAGUGAUCUGCCCCGGAGCGGGGGAUAAUCCGGAGAAAUUCGGUCUAAUACCCCGUACGUUCAUAUGGUCAAGGCUAUAUGAAGAAAGGUUUCGACCGCUCUGGGAGGAGCUUGCGGCCUAUCAGGUAGUUGGCGGGGUAAUGGCCCACCAAGCCGAAGACGGGUAACCGAUGUGAGAGCAUGAUCGGUCAGAGGGGGACUGAGACACGGCCCCCACUCCUACGGGAGGCAGCAGCAGGGAAUCUUGCGCAAUGGGCGAAAGCCUGACGCAGCGACACCGCGUGGGGGAAGAAGGCCUUAGGGUUGUAAACCCCUUUUCUGUGGGAAGAGAUAGGACGGUACCACAGGAAUAAGCAUCGGCUAACUACGUGCCAGCAGCCGCGGUAAUACGUAGGAUGCAAGCGUUGUCCGGAUUUACUGGGCGUAAAGGGUGUGUAGGCGGCAUGUUAAGUCUCAUGUGAAAUCUCCCGGCUCAACUGGGAGCGGUCAUGGGAAACUGGCAAGCUUGAGGGCAGCAGAGGAAAGCGGAAUUCCGGGAGUAGUGGUGGAAUGCGUAGAUACCCGGAGGAACACCAGAGGCGAAGGCGGCUUUCUGGGCUGUGCCUGACGCUGAGACACGAAAGCGUGGGGAGCAAACCGGAUUAGAUACCCGGGUAGUCCACGCCCUAAACGAUGGAUACUAGAUAUGGGGGGUAUCGACCCCUCCCGUGUCGGAGUUAACGCGAUAAGUAUCCCGCCUGGGGAGUACGGCCGCAAGGCUAAAACUCAAAGGAAUUGACGGGUCCCCGCACAAGCGGCGGAGCGUGUGGUUUAAUUCGAUGAUAAGCGAAGAACCUUACCUGGGCUUGACAUGCACUUGACAGCCCGUGAAAGCGGGUCUUCUUUCGAGACAGUGCACAGAUGU
Molecule: ribosomal RNA, 977 nt
Filed under: uncultured bacterium
Lineage: Bacteria
Description: bacterial SSU rRNA
Rfam family: Bacterial small subunit ribosomal RNA
Source: RNAcentral